Molecule: ribosomal RNA, 424 nt
Filed under: Salmonella enterica subsp. enterica serovar Stanley
Lineage: Bacteria; Pseudomonadati; Pseudomonadota; Gammaproteobacteria; Enterobacterales; Enterobacteriaceae
Description: partial 23S ribosomal RNA
Rfam family: Bacterial large subunit ribosomal RNA
Source: RNAcentral
UGGGGAAACCCAGUGUGAUUCGUCACACUAUCAUUAACUGAAUCCAUAGGUUAAUGAGGCGAACCGGGGGAACUGAAACAUCUAAGUACCCCGAGGAAAAGAAAUCAACCGAGAUUCCCCCAGUAGCGGCGAGCGAACGGGGAGGAGCCCAGAGCCUGAAUCAGCAUGUGUGUUAGUGGAAGCGUCUGGAAAGGCGCGCGAUACAGGGUGACAGCCCCGUACACAAAAGCGCAUGUGCUGUGAGCUCGAUGAGUAGGGCGGGACACGUGGUAUCCUGUCUGAAUAUGGGGGGACCAUCCUCCAAGGCUAAAUACUCCUGACUGACCGAUAGUGAACCAGUACCGUGAGGGAAAGGCGAAAAGAACCCCGGCGAGGGGAGUGAAAAAGAACCUGAAACCGUGUACGUACAAGCAGUGGGAGCACA